This 1215-nucleotide long non-coding RNA is filed under the name Macaca mulatta (Rhesus monkey). Its description in RNAcentral is "lncRNA (ENSMMUG00000051952.1)". The record is from RNAcentral. Lineage: Eukaryota; Metazoa; Chordata; Mammalia; Primates; Cercopithecidae.
CCUGAAGUUGUCUGAUAUUUUGUGUAAAAUAUAUUUCUAACUCUUUCUAAAAAAGAAAUUUACAGGAAGGAGGAGUCCUCCAUGUGGGACACCACAGCACAAACACACAGGCUGUAUAAACAACACACCGCUGCACAUGCCACAGCCCCAGGAGGGCAGGAGAUCAGCAGGUGGAGGAGCUCAGGGUCCCUACCUCCCACAGCACAAGAGUUAACUUUCUGCAGACAAGAUACAUGAGAAGUGUGUGAGAGUCAAAAUAAAACAUCAUCUUGAAAAACAGCUGGAUCGCCGGCUCCCUGUGAAGAAUCUGUUCAUUGGUUUUAGAUUCAAAUCAAUUACUAUCCAGAGGAAUCCAUCGGCUCUCUACCACCAUCACCCAUCCCAUUUGUUCUUUUAUUAAUUCUAGUCAUUUGUGUGUGGAACUGGGGGUGAUCAUUUCUCUGGGCCUGUCUUCUAAGUUCCUUUAAAGAAAAAAUCCCUGUGUGUGUGUGUGUGUGUGUGUGUGUGUGUGUGUGUGUGUGUGUGUUUUCUAAAUAGAAAAGCAAUCUAUAUAAAAUACAAUAGUAAGGAUAACAACUGUUCUUUUAUCUUUUACCUUCUAAGUGUCAUAUUGUGAUAUUUCACGUGUUUUCUUACAUCACCCUCACAAUUAACGUAAGUAGAUAUUGCUCAUUCCUAAUUUACAGAUGACACAACUGAGAUUUAGGGAAGCUCAGAAUUUGGCCAUGACCAUUCAGAUGGCAGGUGUGAGAAUAGAAUCCAGUCACUCUGAUCUGUAAUGGGCACUCACUCUGUCCUGUUAGGUAUUGCAAAAUGUAGGAAAAUCGGACAUAAAAAUCCCCACAAGGCUGCCAUGCAGAGAUGACUGCAGUUGUAGUGUGGAGACUUACCUUUAAUUUUCCGCUCAUUUGUAAAUGACCAAACAAUUCAUGCAGACGGAACCAUUUUGUAACUUGCUUUUUCCCCAUUUAACAGUAUGUCUCUAACGCCUUUCUACAUCAAUACAUGUAGAUCAUUCAUUUUCUUCUGUGUACUCUUCUUGCAGCUUUGCUGGUAGUGUCUUCUCGUCUGCAGCCCUGGCCUGGAGGUAAGUGUGAUCUCUCUGCAGCAUUUGACACAGGGUUUCCUCCCUCCCUCCAGAGCAGACUUUCUUUGCCUCCAUCAAAACACCCAGCAUUGAGUUUCACGUCAUCAGACUACACCACUUUCCUGCCC